Long non-coding RNA from Atta colombica, 271 nucleotides. RefSeq lists it as uncharacterized. The transcript is spliced from 3 exons. NCBI's taxonomy places the organism in Eukaryota, Metazoa, Arthropoda, Insecta, Hymenoptera, Formicidae. The record is from RefSeq and is a predicted model, not a curated record.
AUCGUUUUGGGUCGCGCAAUCUACGAAAAUUAGAUAUCAAUUCACGAACGCGAAUUGAUGAUUAAUUACGUAAAGCUGCCCAAAUAGUAAAUAGUAUUGCUCAAAACUAAGUUAGAUGAUCGGCGCGCGACCUUGAAGUGGGGAUGACUCGGAGUGGCGCGUCAUGUUUAUGCGUAGUUACCGUGCGAUCAUUCCCUUACCGAGGCUCGUACAAACAGAUUCUUUUCACGGAUACGACCUUGACGUGGUGGGAGAGUUCAGUACCCAGAGG